GGAUGCCAGGGUGACGACAUUGUGCCAUCUCACCCCAUUGGUCACCAGGUUGAUUUGACCGAUUGGGCUGACUAGGAAGGACUCACCUUUAUCCCUCCUCAUUCCAUGUGUGGGUCCCUCCUGAACUAGCCCACUCAGCAGAGGAAAACAGCCUUCCCUGACAGAGAAAACAGCUGUUUGAACAAGCCAGGCCUGGUGGUACAAGCCUAUAGCCCACUUACUCAGGAGGUUAAGGGAGGAAGAUCAGAAAUCCAAGACUGGCCUGGGCUGUAGAAAGGAACCAGUAUU
RNAcentral lists this small RNA (288 nucleotides) under Nannospalax galili (Upper Galilee mountains blind mole rat). RNAcentral's name for it is "7SK RNA (ENSNGAG00000003035.1)". The stretch from base 1 to 186 matches the Rfam family "7SK RNA". From Rfam's summary of the family: 7SK was discovered as an abundant small nuclear RNA in the mid-70s but a possible function has only recently been suggested. Two independent studies have found that 7SK RNA binds the CDK9/cyclin T complex (known as elongation factor P-TEFb). P-TEFb activates transcription by phosphorylating the C-terminal domain of RNA polymerase II. The record is from RNAcentral. Lineage: Eukaryota; Metazoa; Chordata; Mammalia; Rodentia; Spalacidae.